GAGACAACCGCUGAACAUGACACACUAUUUUCCUAAGUAAACAACCAUUUCUUUAACAAUCUCUUCGCCUUCAAAUUUUGUGAAGCCAAGCGCAAAUUAUGUAAAGUCUACCAGCAAUGACAAAAAUAGCGUGUCAACUGGGGCAGGGGUAGCAAGAAAAUAAUAGACCUACACACAAAGUCCACUUUCACUUGCUGUAAUUAAUCGCAACCAUUUCAAAGUCCCCUUCCAUCUUUAUCUCGAGUAUUUUAACAAACUAGCAAGUGCAUCAGUUUGAGUUCGUUUUAAUUGAAACAUUUAACUAUCAGAACGGCUGACAGAUACUACAGGACACUAGGCCCCGAAUAAUCUUAUUAAUAGAUCCAGACCCCCAAGCGGUCUGAAGCUCGCAAUAAUAAAGAGGAUUUAAGAUUAACCAAGAAACGGCCGUUAGAGACCCUUUCC
This 444-nucleotide long non-coding RNA is filed under the name Homo sapiens (human). RNAcentral describes it as "HSALNT0272935". Lineage: Eukaryota; Metazoa; Chordata; Mammalia; Primates; Hominidae. The record is from RNAcentral.